GGCUGCCAAUGCGAAUUGACCCACAUCUCCAGAAGAUAUGGUUGCACCAUUGUCUACAAGAAGUUUAACAACGGAUUCAUGCUUCCCCAGUAAUGCUUCCCAAAGGGGAACAUUGCCUUCUGAAUCUUUCUUGUUAGGAUCAGCUCCAUACUCUAGAAGGAGGACUACACAAUGCUCACUCCCAUUUGAAGCUGCAAUGUGCAAUGCAG
RNAcentral lists this unclassified non-coding RNA (209 nucleotides) under Hevea brasiliensis (rubber tree). The record is from RNAcentral. Lineage: Eukaryota; Viridiplantae; Streptophyta; Magnoliopsida; Malpighiales; Euphorbiaceae.